This 486-nucleotide ribosomal RNA is filed under the name uncultured bacterium. RNAcentral's name for it is "partial 16S ribosomal RNA". It matches the Rfam family "Bacterial small subunit ribosomal RNA", at positions 29 to 507 of the family's 1533-position model. The record is from RNAcentral.
AUUGAACGCUGGCAGCAUGCUUUACACAUGCAAGUCGAGCGGCAGCGCGGGGGCAACCCUGGCGGCGAGCGGCGAACGGGUGAGUAAUGCAUCGGAACGUAUCCUCGAGUGGGGGAUAACCCAGCGAAAGUUGGGCUAAUACCGCAUGAGCUCUGAGGAGGAAAGCGGGGGACCUGCGAGGGCCUCGCGCUGGAGGAGCGGCCGAUGUCCGAUUAGCUAGUUGGUGGGGUAAAGGCUUACCAAGGCGACGAUCGGUAGCUGGUCUGAGAGGAUGAUCAGCCACACUGGGACUGAGACACGGCCCAGACUCCUACGGGAGGCAGCAGUGGGGAAUUUUGGACAAUGGGGGCAACCCUGAUCCAGCCAUGCCGCGUGAGUGAAGAAGGCCUUCGGGUUGUAAAGCUCUUUCGGACGGAACGAAAUGGGCGGGACUAAUACUCCUGUCUGAUGACGGUACCGGAAGAAGAAGCACCGGCUAACUACGUG